RNAcentral lists this ribosomal RNA (433 nucleotides) under uncultured bacterium. RNAcentral describes it as "partial 16S ribosomal RNA". It matches the Rfam family "Bacterial small subunit ribosomal RNA", at positions 29 to 507 of the family's 1533-position model. The record is from RNAcentral.
AACGAACGCUGGCGGCAUGCUUAACACAUGCAAGUCGAACGGAACCGUCGGGUUUGGUGGCGAAUGGAGGCGUAAAGCGUGGGAAACCGCCCGUGGGUUCUGAAUAACUCCCCGAGAGAGGUCCUGGUAACGGAGAAUGUCAUCGGACAUAAGAUUUAUUGGGUUUGGAUGGGGCCGCGUUGGAUUAGCUAGGUGGUAGGGUAAAGGCCUACCAAGGCGACGAGCCAUAGCUGGUGUGAGAGGCUGAUCAGUGGCACUGGGACUGAGCCACGGCCCAGACUCCUACGGGAGGCAGCAGUGGGUACUAUUGGGCCAUGGGCGAGAUCCUGCUCCAGCAAGGCCGCGUGAGUGAUCAAGGGGUUAGGAUUGUAAAUCUCUUUUACCCGGGCUGAUAAUGACGGUACCGGGAUAAUAAGCACCGGCUAACUACGUG